Molecule: ribosomal RNA, 209 nt
Filed under: uncultured bacterium
Lineage: Bacteria
Description: partial 16S ribosomal RNA
Rfam family: Bacterial small subunit ribosomal RNA
Source: RNAcentral
UACGUAGGGUGCGAGCGUUAAUCGGAAUUACUGGGCGUAAAGCGUGCGCAGGCGGUCUGUUAAGACCGAUGUGAAAUCCCCGGGCUUAACCUGGGAACUGCAUUGGUGACUGGCAGGCUUUGAGUGUGGCAGAGGGAGGUAGAAUUCCACGUGUAGCAGUGAAAUGCGUAGAGAUGUGGAGGAAUACCGAUGGCGAAGGCAGCCGUCCU